UACGUAGGCAGCGAGCGUUGUUCGGAGUUACUGGGCGUAAAGAGUGCGUAGGCGGUGCUCUAAGUUUGGUGUGAAAUCUCCCGGCUCAACUGGGAGGGUGCGCCGAAAACUGGAGUGCUCGAGUAUGGGAGAGGUAAGCGGAAUUCCUGGUGUAGCGGUGAAAUGCGUAGAUAUCAGGAGGAACACCCGUGGCGAAGGCGGUUCUCUGGGACGGUACUGACGCUGAGACGCGAAAGCGUGGGGAGCGAACAGG
Molecule: ribosomal RNA, 253 nt
Filed under: uncultured bacterium
Lineage: Bacteria
Description: partial 16S ribosomal RNA
Rfam family: Bacterial small subunit ribosomal RNA
Source: RNAcentral